AGUGAGCAAUGCAAUUCUGGGAAUGUUCAGGCUCUCUCUGUUCUUUCCUCUCUUGCAAACCAUGGGCACCCUUGGGUCCCUUGGGGUCACUAUGUUACACCUGCUUUUUAUCUGUCUGGGCAAGAGCUGCUCAAGCCACACCUUGUGACACUGAGAUCAGCUAUGAAAAUACCCAGCCGGCCUGCAGCCCUCCCGGCAGAUGCUGAAAAGGAAACCCGACUGGGAGAUGCCGCCCACCCUUAUCCCCAGAGAGCUGCGUUGUUUCCUCUUGCCUUGGCCUUUGGAUCCGGCCAUAGCAAGCAUCCCUGGGCACCUGGCUGAAGCUGGAAACUCGGGAUAAGAAUGGAAGCCCUGGAAGGGAAGAAGAACCGAGGAGAGGACAGCACAUUGCACUCUCACCUCCUUUGCAGUUAAGUGUGAAAUAGUGCCAAUAGAGUGUAAAAGAAAAGAAAGAAGAUGAUUCACCUCCCAAAGAUUCCCCACUGCUGUGUCCCUUCUAUCAACUUGAUACAAAAAAACACAAUGGCCCCGGGAACCACGUGUUGAAGAUGAGAGAGCUAAAAGAUGGAAAGAGACUGGAGCCCUGAGUCACCACCUGGAGGAAAACUACC
Molecule: long non-coding RNA, 611 nt
Filed under: Homo sapiens (human)
Lineage: Eukaryota; Metazoa; Chordata; Mammalia; Primates; Hominidae
Description: non-protein coding LINC01093:21
Source: RNAcentral